RNAcentral lists this ribosomal RNA (472 nucleotides) under uncultured bacterium. RNAcentral describes it as "bacterial SSU rRNA". It matches the Rfam family "Bacterial small subunit ribosomal RNA", at positions 364 to 832 of the family's 1533-position model. The record is from RNAcentral.
UUCGCAAUGCCCGAAAGGGUGAACGAGCGACGCCGCGUGCGGGAUGAAGGGUUUCGGCUUGUAAACCGCUUUUCUUUGGGAAGAAGGUCUGUCUCGUGCAGAUGGGCUCGACGGUACCAGAGGAAUAAGCCUCGGCUAACUCCGUGCCAGCAGCCGCGGUAAGACGAACCGUGCGAACGUUAUUCGGAAUCACUGGGCUUAAAGCGCGUGUAGGCGGGCGGGCACGUCCGACGCUGAAAUCCCCCGGCUCAACCGGGGAACCGGCGGGGAUACGACCGGCCUGGAGGGACGUAGGGGGACCUGGAACUUCCGGUGGAGCGGUGAAAUGCGUUGAGAUCGGAAGGAACGCCCGUGGCGAAAGCGAGGUCCUGGACGUCUGCUGACGCUGAGACGCGAAAGCCAGGGGAGCGAACGGGAUUAGAUACCCCGGUAGUCCUGGCUGUAAACGAUGGGCACUAAGUAGAGGGGUUUU